UUGGAUCCAGACUUUGAUUAUGGCUCAGGAUGAACGCUAGCUACAGGCUUAACACAUGCAAGUCGAGGGGAAACGAUAGAGAAAGCUUGCUUUUUCUAGGCGUCGACCGGCGCACGGGUGAGUAACGCGUAUCCAACCUGCCCAUCACUUGGGGAUAACCUUGCGAAAGUAAGACUAAUACCCAAUGAUAUCUCUAGAAGACAUCUGAAGGAGAUUAAAGAUUUAUCGGUGAUGGAUGGGGAUGCGUCUGAUUAGCUUGUUGGCGGGGUAACGGCCCACCAAGGCGACGAUCAGUAGGGGUUCUGAGAGGAAGGUCCCCCACAUUGGAACUGAGACACGGUCCAAACUCCUACGGGAGGCAGCAGUGAGGAAUAUUGGUCAAUGGGCGAGAGCCUGAACCAGCCAAGUAGCGUGCAGGAUGACGGCCCUAUGGGUUGUAAACUGCUUUUAUAAGGGAAUAAAGUGAGCCUCGUGAGGCUUUUUGCAUGUACCUUAUGAAUAAGGACCGGCUAAUUCCGUGCCAGCAGCCGCGGUAAUACGGAAGGUCCGGGCGUUAUCCGGAUUUAUUGGGUUUAAAGGGAGCGUAGGCCGGAGAUUAAGCGUGUUGUGAAAUGUAGAUGCUCAACGUCUGCACUGCAGCGCGAACUGGUUUCCUUGAGUACGCACAGAGUGGGCGGAAUUCGUGGUGUAGCGGUGAAAUGCUUAGAUAUCACGAAGAACUCCGAUUGCGAAGGCAGCUCACUGGAGCGCAACUGACGCUGAAGCUCGAAAGUGCGGGUAUCGAACAGGAUUAGAUACCCUGGUAGUCCGCACGGUAAACGAUGGAUGCCCGCUGUUGGUCUGAAUAGGUCAGCGGCCAAGCGAAAGCAUUAAGCAUCCCACCUGGGGAGUACGCCGGCAACGGUGCAACUCAAAUGAAUUGACGGA
RNAcentral lists this ribosomal RNA (927 nucleotides) under uncultured bacterium. RNAcentral describes it as "bacterial SSU rRNA". It matches the Rfam family "Bacterial small subunit ribosomal RNA", at positions 1 to 917 of the family's 1533-position model. The record is from RNAcentral. RNAcentral also lists the same sequence under 1 other name.